This is a non-coding RNA of Podarcis lilfordi (Lilford's wall lizard), 12361 nucleotides long. NCBI's taxonomy places the organism in Eukaryota, Metazoa, Chordata, Lepidosauria, Squamata, Lacertidae. The record is from the annotation of a GenBank genome assembly.
CUCUUCUGAUCUUCUCCGCUUCCUAUGUUCCUAGGAGGUGCAAUCCUAUCCACCGUUUCAUGGGGACAGGUCAGGUGACUUGCCAUCCAGUAGGUACCACCUCUUGAAGGCCCUCUGUACCCCCAACAUUUGACUUCUGGAGGCCCUGGCGACUGGGGCAAAACCCGAAGCCCGCCCUGUGUGCGUGUGUUGAGGCCGCGUGCUUGCACGCAGCUGCCGAAAGGCGAUGGCCGAAAAUAGAGACACUUCCUGGUAAACAGGGGCAACUGGAAGGUCGGUGGGCACCUCGUAUUUCUCCGCUUUACGGUGUUGAUCUGGCUACCCAGGCUGGAGACAGGCUUCUGGCCUGCUUGGCCCGUUCUUCUGACGCUUGGCAAGCGAGGACCUUUGCUUUCCGAAAAACACCAGGCCUUGGGUUUUCCACCAUCUCUCUCCCCUCCUCCUGCUCCUCCUCGCUGGCGUCUUCUGGUGGUCCUCUGAGCAGACCUUACCUCGAGCAACCUCUUGCAAAGAGCUAUGAAUUUUUGAAAAGGGCCCUAUUACAUCUCGGCAGAGCUCUUUAACUCUCUCUCUCUUUUUAAAAAAGAUCAGAUCCGCCCAAGAACUGCGCCGACUGAGGCUGUGUGCUGCGUGCUACCACUGCAGUGCUCGGGGAGACGGGAAAGUAGGUCACGGUGUCACUUAAGGCUGCCGUGUACUAAUGCCGACCCGGCAAGUGGAGCGAAAGCGUGCCAGGGUUGGAGAUGAUAGAUGGCCGUCUCGGUGGUAUAAACAGGCAAUGGGGGGAGGAGGCGUCAGAGGGAGCCGGGCUCUUUGGCCAAAGGCACCGCGGUCAGUUUGCAACUGGCCCAGCAAAACUUUUUCAUCGGGGCUGUGCUAGCCACGUUCCUCCGACUGCUCUCCUCGCCUUCCUCAUCCUUCUCUGAUAUUUCUUCCCUCCUCUGAGUGGUUGCGCAAGCACUGCGUUUGUGGCGCCCUCUGCUGGCACGGAUCCGAGGCUGAAAUAAAGGCUGCAAGAAUGAGAGUUCCCGGCGUGAAAGUGCAAAACCCAAAGAAUUGGGGUGUAUGUUUGUGUUCUCCUCCAGGAAAGGCAGCUGUGGCUUUGAAGGAAGCCCAGGUGCAUUUCUGGAGAGAGAAAAGACAAGGCAGAUAAAAGAAAGUGCUUCUACACGUCGCUGUAGAUAGCCACUUCCUUUGUGAAUGAGUUGGUCUCGUCCUCUUUUAAAACCAUCCGAGUCGGUGGCCAUCGCUGCCUCCUGUGGCAGGGAGUUCCACAUGUUAACUAUUCUUGUGAGCCACCUUGAGUGGCAGAAGCAGGAAGCCAGCCUAGAAAUUCCUGAAAUACUGCAGGAGCAGAGACUUCUGAGGUUGCUGUGUUUUGCAUCGGAUGGUUUGUCCAGUUCUCCUCUGUGGUUUUGAAAGGUCUCCCACCAUAGAAACUUUGGUUGCUUCACUGAUGCUAAACAAUGUUCAAAAUAGCUUCAGGAAUGUGGAGGAGGUGGCAGUGCGGGGUCCAGAGCACCCCUGGAGAAGCAGGGCAAGGAGGCAGGGAUAUGGGCACAACUGCCCUGGCACCACGUCAAAUGAUGUCAGGUGGAUUUUCUCCUCCUUCUCCCCCUCCUCCUCCAUCUCGCAGAAGAACAGGUUGUUCCCUUCAAUUUUGGGCUUGAUUUAUUAAUGCAAACUGUGUGGUUGCCAGUACAUGGUGCUCACCUAUAGGACUGCAGAUGCCUGAUGCUUCCCUCGUCCAUUAAGCCUGAGCUUUGAAAAACAAAUUGUCAAAAUGCGCAGAGAAGCUCACUUAGCAUCUGAAAGCCUUGAGGAAUCAAGUCACCCUGCGUGUCCUGCAGGUGGUAGUCACCCAGACAAUAUUAUUCUUUUUUUUUUUGAGGUGAGGCCACCAGAACCCUACACAGUUCUGGCUGCACCAUAGAUUUGCAUAAGAAUACUGGCAGCUUCGAUUCCUUUCCUAAUGAUCACUUGCAUGGAAUGUUCCUUUUUCACGACCGAAACAUACUAAUGAACUCCCUGUGUGUUUCUUCCCCGUAUAUUAUUAUGACCUUUGUUGAAAUGCAUGAAUUCUCUCCAUCUCUGAGUCCCAUCAGUGGACAUUUCAGGACAGCGGCUGAUUCAGAAACGCAGGAUGUCUGUGAGGCUCAGUGGCAAGAAAUGAUCGAGGGGAGCGGAAGAUGGAAAGACGAAAAAAGAGAUUGGCGUUGAGACAGGCGGCAGAGAGCGUCUCCACCCCCAUCGUUCUGCCCGGACACUGAGGUCCAGCUCCGAGGGCCUUCUGGCGGUUCCCUCACUGUGAGAAGCCAAGUUACAGGGAACCAGGCAGAGGGCCUUCUCAGUGGUGGCGCCUGCCCUGUGGAAGGCCCUCCCACCAGAUGUCAAAGAGAAAAACAACUACCUGACAUUUAGAAGACAUCUGAAGGCAGCCCUGUUCAGGGAAGCUUUUAAUGUUUAAAAGAUUAUUGUAUUUUAAUAUUCUGUUCGAAGCUGCCCAGAGUGGCUGGGGAAACCCAGCCAGAUGGGCGGGGUAUAAAUAAAUUAUUAUUAUUAUUAUUAUUAUUAUUAUUAUUAUUAUUUAUCACAAGGCAUUCUGUCCCUAGGAGCUCUCCCUGCCAAAGGAAGCCAGCCCCACAAAUAAGGGCCAAUUGCCCUUUUCGAUGGCAGAACUGCCCCCGUUCAGCGCUGCCAUUAACCUAUGGCUUGCAAGAGCCCCAGCUGUUUGGCAGCCCAGGCUGCAAGCAUGAAUGGACUCAGAUUUUCCGAGCACCGCGUUGCUGUUCCCAAACUCUGAAUGAAGCGCCGGCCCUCCGGUGAGAUCACUAAAUUAGGUGGCUGCGCCAAGAGACUAAUUUAUGACAUCGUCCCCGAGGCGGUAGCAGCCCGGAACACACACAGAGUAAUAAGGUCUCCCGAGAAAGAGGCUGACAUCCUCUCUCCGCCCCCUCGCUCCUUCCUGUGGAAGUGCCGGGCCUCAGGUGGCUUGGGAGCAGGGGUGGCGUCACAAAUGCACACACCUUCGGGGCGCAGAGGGGCAGCCCCUCCUCUUCCCGCCCUGCUCCCAGUCUGUGGCUGCUCAGGGAGGAAAUGGAAAAAGGUCUGCCCACAGAACCUGCAAAGGAGGGCAGUCAAUUAUCAUUGUAAUCAGUAUAAUAAAUGAUGAUUCUUGCAAUGUAGCAAAAGGACUGUUCUGAUCUAUCAUCUAUCUAUCAUCUCUCUCUCUCUCUCUCUCUCUCUCAUCUUUAUCUAUCAUAUCUAUCUAUCUAUCUAUCUAUCUAUCUAUCUAUCUAUCAUCUAUCUAUCUAUCUAUCUAUCUAUCUAUCAUCUAUCUAUCUAUCAUCUAUAUCUAUCUAUCUAUCUAUCAUCUAUCUAUCUAUCUAUCUAUCUAUCUAUCUAUCUAUCUAUCUAUCUAUAUCUAUCUAUCUAUCUAUCUAUCUAUCUAUCAUCUAUCUAUCUAUCUAUCAUCUAUCUAUCAUCUAUCUAUCUAUCUAUCUAUCUAUCUAUCUAUCUACCUAUAAUCUAUUGAUCGAUCAAUCAUCUGUCUAUUGAUCAUCUAUCAUCUAUCUAUCUAUCAUCUAUAUCUAUCUAUCAUCUAUCUAUCUAUCUAUCUAUCUAUCUAUCUAUCUAUCUAUCAUCUAUAUCUACCUAUCUACCUAUCAUCUAUUGAUCGAUCGAUCAUCUAUCUAUUGAUCAUCUCUCUCUCUCUCUCUCUCUCUCUCUCUCUCUCUCUCUCUCUUAUUGUUUGUCUAUUGCAUUUAUAUCCCAACUCUUUCGUCAAGGAGCUCAAAGUGGCCUGCACUGUUCUUCCCUUCCUCAUUUAAUCCACACAACAGCCCUGUGAGGUAGGUUAGGCUGAGAGUGACCGACCACUCCCCAAAGUUACCCAGUGAUCUUAAUGCCUUGCAUGAGGAUUCAAACCCUUGUCUCUCAUAUCAUAGUCCGGCACUCUAAGCACUGCACCACACCGAUAAGGGUUAGGGUUUGAAUCUGUCCAUUCCGACUCCCCCACCCCAAUCUUAAAGUCCACGUCAUAUUUCUGCAUUGUAUUUUCAAUUUUUUUAAGAAAAAAAGAAAUCCUCAUGGAAAGUUAUCAGGAUUUUAGUCUGCAUUUAUCCUAAUUGAUACAUGGUUGCAAACAUUUCCCCUGUGCAUUUUAAAUGUGAUUUUGACUAAUAUAUGCAUUUGUAGGCAACAUUUUCCCCUAAUAGAUACAUAUGUUUUGGGGUUGUAGAACUGCUUUGCAAAAUUCAGCCAAGUGCAAAUUUCAAAAUACGUAUAGAGCUCACCUUAAAACACCAAGGCAGCAAUCCUGUCCCUAAUAAACAGGCGUAAAGGCAGCACAAAGUUGCACCAGAUCCAAAACCUGCAUGAAGGCAACUGCUGAAGCUCUUCCUAUGUCUGGCAGAGAAUCACCCCCAAAGUGAAUGAAUUGCUCCUCCAUCUCUUCUUGGAACCAGAAAAUUCAUAUGAUAUUCUCCCCACUUGAAUUUCACCUGCCAUUAGGGAUCCUAUAUUAUUUUCCAUGCCAUGAGAAUUUUAUUCUUUUUAAAACUCAGUCGAGCCCCUUCUUUGCACAACCCAUCCCCAGCGCUGCGGAACCCCUAAAGGCGGAGAUUAAUUCUGGCACAAUCACCUCCAUGUCUGUGGCGUCAAGAAGGGUAGUUUGGCAUGACUAAAAGGAUGGUGACAGCCAUCACAAAAUUAAAAGAUGCCUGCUUCUUGGGAGAAAAGCAAUGACAAACCUAGACAGCAUCUUAAAAAGCAGAGACAUCACCUUGCCAACAAAGGUCCGUAUAGUUCAAGCUAUGGUUUUCCCAGUAGUGAUGUAUGGAAGUGAGAGCUGGACCAUAAAGAAGGACCAUUUGCCGAAGAAUGGAUGCCUUUGAAUUCUGGUGCUGGAGGAGACUCUUGAGAGUCCCAUGGACUGCAAGAAGAUCAAACCUCUCCAUUCUGAAGGAAAUCAGCCCUGAGUGCUCACUGGAAGGACAGAUCCUGAAGCUGAGGCUCCAAGACUUUGGCCACCUCAUGAGAAGAGAAGACUCCCUGGAAAAGACCCUGAUGUUGGGAAAGAUGGAGGGCACAAGGAGAAGGGGACUGCAGAGGACGAGAUGGUUGGACACGACUAAACGACUAAACAACAACAACAAAAGGCUGCUGGGAGUUGAAAAAGCAGUCCCCUGUGAUCGGCGGGGAUCUUGCAGGUUUUUUCCUCCCUCUGUCAGUCUUCAUCCCAGGCCUAUCCAUCUUCCCAUCAAAGAGGCCGUUUCUCCAAAACGGCUGCGUUUCGCUGAGUGUCUCUUGGAAUAACCGCUGAAAUCUCUUAGCAGGAGCUAAAAUAACCUCUCAUCCAAUAUAGAUGAGGUGCCAGAGUUCAAAUUGCUGGGAAGCGCAGAUGGCGGCACAGCAUUUCAGGGAAGUUGCUCUGUGGGUUCUGAGACUCUCGCAAAAGCCUUCCUCAACAUGGCGCCCUCCAGACGUUUUGGAUACAAUUCCCAUUAGCCCCGGCCAGUUCUAUAGCUGGGGAUUGCGUGGCAAGUUCCCACCCCCCCCCCCACAGUGGAAAUAAAGACACAUGACACAAUUAUUAAGUUGAAUGGGCUAAAUAUGGCCACAACUUUAUUGGUUACAGGUGAUGAGCGGUAUUGGCUUAGACAUUGGUCCUAACCGACUAUAUCUGACUUCAGCCCAUCCGCUUGAAGUCCGGGAAGGGUUAACCACCAGGAGGGGGAGUCCUGCUGAUGCACAUCAAGUAGGAACUUCCCCGGGGUCACCGCUAGGGGGCGUGCCUUAGGCCCUCACCUCCCCAGUCUUUGGACAGGGCCACGCCCCCCAGAAUCCUUUAUCGGUCUACCCCUCAAUAUGCAGGGCAGAUGAUGGCGCUUCCUCCCCUCUUCCAACUACAGAAAUAUACCUAUGCCUAACCGCCAAUACCCAGAAAGUUGUGACGAUUUGCUACGAGGUUAGUGAAAACCAAGUGGUUGGUGCCAAUUUGCCAAGUGGAAAAAUUCCUACCAGACCCCUCAAUGGUGACCAAUCGAAGCCCAUAACAAGGUCAAGGAAGAAAACCUUAAAGGGUGGGAUGGUGGGAAAAGCAGGAACAGCUGAUAGGCAGGAAAAGAGGGAGACCCCUGGCCGUACCUGCAUUAAAUGGGGCAGGCCACGCUCCCAGAGCCAGCCGAUUGGUUGGUCAGGGGGUGACACGACCGGGGAUUCCCCCGAUCGCGCGGGAGCUGGGCUCCAGCCUCCACGCGUGUGGUGGGGCUGUGACGCCUGCAAUCCCACCUCCUCUGCAGGUCAGAAGUGGCUUUGAUAGAUGGCCACUGAGAUCUCACAUGAAAAAUUGGGGUUCCCCAUUUUUUUCCAGGAUGCCUGGAAGGAAUUGUAACAGCGCCUUUGAUUUAGCUCAGCAGCUAAGUGGCAAUCAAUGAGCAGCAGUAUAAGGCACCAACAAUAGUGCAUCUUGCAUUCCUUUAAAAUAAAAAUAAAACAAAUAAAAAAUAUUUGUUACAUUUGGGUUAAAUUUACUUGUUCGACUUAACUAGCUUAUCCUAGAGAAAAUUGUCAGUACUGCAAGAAGAGGAGGUUUUUUUUAUUUAUUUACCAUUGCUGGCGACCUUGCAGAGAAAUUAAAUGGUACUGGCAAAAAAAUAUCUUCAGUAAUCAAUAAUGCCCUGCCCACUAACAUACCCUUAAACCCAAACAUCUGUUUAUUAACACAUUUUAUAAGACUGGUGCCAAAUAAUAGAGACAUUACCGUUCAACAGGGUUGUACAGUAGUAGCAUGCCUUAUAUACAUCAAAUAUUUGAAAACAAAAGGAAAUCCCUUCAUUCUGGGAAUGUACAUUAAGCUUUGGGUUCUAGGAGUAUUAAGUAGGAUUACAUGGACUUUGUGGAUCAAGCAAGGAAGAUGCCAAGUAAAUAAAUUUGUGGAGGAGCAAAAGGCUUUCAGAGAGUAUUGGAACAGCAAAUGAAAUAUGAAUUUCUGUAAUUCCUUUCCCCAUAUAGAAGUUGAAAGUAUAUAAGGAGAGGACUUUAUUGCUGAGUUUAUGCUGCAUGACUGAGUAUGUAUUGUGCAUGAUGCAAUUGGAAAUGUACUGGAUCAAAGCAUUGUUCAAUUCAAUAAUAAAUAUUUGUAAUUUAGGAUGUUUCGCAUCUGCUAGUCAUUUAAAGCACUAUGAAAUGAAAGUUUUCCUCCUUUUAAUGUUUUUUUAAAUCCUAAGUUGUUUUUUUUAGAAAAAGAAGAUUGCUGGUUAGGUAUGAUAUGUGUGUAUAUAAAAUGAUACUUGUAAGGUCAGUGACUAAUUUAUCAUUUAUUUUCUGGGAAGUGGUGGUUUCCCUUCAACAAAAUCAUCGACUGGAAGAAACAAAACAUUUCUUCUUGUUUGUUUCUUGAGCCGAAAUACCCCUAGCGCACCUGCGCAUGGCUUGAGGUCGCUCACAGCACAUUAAACUUCACAAUCAUGGCGUCGUUACAUCAAAGGUCAAAUAAAAUAGAUAAAUUCAGUUUCUCGAAGCUGCAGCAAGGACCCAAAAAUCCACUUAUAAGGUAGACGUCUGCUAAAUGAUAUGCCAAGCUCAUCCAUUUUGUUGAAUUAAUUAAACUAAACAGUUGCGACUGGAUUUUCAAUAAAUGUACAAUUAAUUGUUACCGUUUUGAAAUAUAUUGCAUUAUUCUCUUCCUUAGUACAAGGCACUAUUCUGCAAAAAAUAUGUUUUUCUUAUAGGGAGCACUGGAGAUGAGUUUACGGAACCAGGGUUAGACCACUGGUUAGAGCACUGCCUGCACUGGGGUUAUCUAACAUGGUGUCCUCCAGCUGCUGCUGAACUACAGCUCCCAUCGCCUCUGACAAUCAGCCAUGCUAGCUUGGGCUCAUGGGAAACAGAGUCCAGUCUGGUGGGCAACACCUUGUCUUGGAGGCUGUCCAGGGUUUCAGACAGAGUCUCUCCCAGCCCUCAUUGGAGGUCCCUUUGGGGACUGAAGGUGGAACCUUUAGCACUCAAAGCAGGUGAAGGCUGUGAAGGUCCUGUGUGAGUGCCUGGAGGCGGUUGGAGGAUGGAUGGUGGCUAACAGAUUGAGGUUGAAUCCUGACAAGACAGAAGUACUGUUUUGGGGGGACAGGGGGCAGGCGGAUGUGGAGGACUCCCUGGUCCUGAAUGGGGUAACUGUGCCCCUGAAGGACCAGGUGCGCAGCCUGGGAGUCAUUUUGGACUCACAGCUGUCCAUGGAGGCACAGGUCAAAUCUGCGUCCAGGGCAGCUGUCUACCAGCUCCAUCUGGUACGCAGGUUGAGACCCUACCUGCCCGCGGACUGUCUCGCCAGAGUGGUGCAUGCUCUAGUUAUCUCUCGCUUGGACUACUGCAAUGCGCUCUAUGUGGGGCUACCUUUGAAGGUGACCCGGAAACUACAACUAAUCCAGAAUGCAGCAGCUAGACUGGUGACUGGGAGCGGCUGCCGAGACCACAUAACACUGGUCUUGAAAGAUCUACAUUGGCUCCCAGUACAUUUCCGAGCACAAUUCAAAGUGUUUGUGCUGACCUUUAAAGCCCCAAACGGCCUCUGCCGAGUAUACCCAAAUGAGCGUCUCCAUCCCCAUCGUUCUGCCCGGACACUGAGGUCCAGCGCCGAGGGCCUUCUGGCGGUUCCCUCAUUGCGAGAAGCAAAGCUACAGGGAACCAGGCAGAGGGCCUUCUUGGUGGUGGUACCCACCCUGUGGAACGCCCUCCCAUCAGAUGUCAAGGAAAUAAAGAACUAUCUGGCUUUUAGAAGACAUCUGAAGGCAGCCCUGUGUAGGGAAGUUUUUAAUGUUUGAAGUUUUAUUCUGUUUUUAGUGUUCUGUUGGGAGCCGCCCAGCGUGGCUGGGGAAACCCAGCCAGAUGGGUGGGGUAUAAAUAAAUAAAUAUAUUAUUAUUAUUAAAGCAAGUGCUCUAAACGAGGGCUCUGCCCCUUCUCCAAACCUCCUGCCCUUAGAGUGACUUUGAAUCCCUUUGUGUUCCCGCCUUGUCCCUCUGUACCUUGGAAGAUCAUCAUCCCAUUUCUCCAGCCACACGUAGUCAAGGUUUGCCUCUCCACCAUGAGCAGACGGGGAAAGUGGCCCCCAUUUGUCUUGAUAAUGUGAUGUGUCCUCAUGAAUCACUUGGCAGGAGUCCCACCGAUGCUCCGUGCCAGGAUCUCACCUCCCUGUCUUAUUGAUUGUGGCAGCUCAGACCAACUUUCCGAUCGGAGUUUGGGUCGAGGAAGCUUCCCCUUUGCAUUUAACUUUCUCCUUAAGCUAUUGUGUACAUCUCCCAGUUCAAAGCUUGUAGGAGUGUGAGUGUGAUGGCUUGAAAGUUAGGAAUUGCCUGCUGGCAAAUUUCAGGGCAUGGGGGGAGGAUUUUGGAGGGGCAGUUCCAGCAGCAGGGGUUGAAUUCUGCUUCCAUCCCUGAAUUGAAGUCCCUUCCUGAGACAUUGCUCGAAAUGACCCCCUCUCCCCCCAAUUUUGCCGCACAGAAACACGGCGGCGAAGCUGGGAUGCUCUCAUUUCCAAUCAGCUCUUCAAUGCUCUACAUGCAGCACAGAAUUAAGCGGUGGAACUCACUCCCACUGGAGGCAGGGAUGGUUUUAAAAGAGGAUUGGACAAAAUCAUGGGAAAUGUAUAGAACUAGUUCAAAUCUGUGUUGCGAAUGUAAAGGGAAAGAGGGUACUUUUUACCAUAUGUGGUGGAAGUGUCCAGUGGUAAAAGCUUUCUGGGAAAUGAUAUAUAAUGAGUUAAAGAAAAUGUUUAAGAAAACCUUUACUAGAAAAACCGGAAGCUUUUCUGAUAGCUGUAAUAGGUGAAGAUACCAAAAGAAGGCAAAAUACUUUUUUUUAAGUACGCAACAACCACAGCGAGAUGGAAGGAGGGAGAACUGCCAUCCAGAGAAGAAUGGCAGACGAAAUUGAUGGAAUAUGCAGAGAUGGCAAAACUGAUGGGAAAGAUCAGAAACCAGGAAGAUCAAGUAUUUUUAAAAGACUGGAAUAAAUUCUUAAUAUGCUGUACUUAAAAGACUACUGUAAACAGUUAAAAUCAUUGCCAGGGAUGUAAUGACACUUGUAAUGUGAAAUGAAUUGUGGUAACUAUAGAUAUAUAACAGAUGGAUAAUGGUAAAAGAUGCAGAAAAAAUUAUUUUAAAAAUGGAAACCAUGGAGGAAGGGAAGGAGGUCUGAAGGUUUGAAAGAACCUUUUAUUUUAAUGUUUUGAAGUGGUUAAAGUUAAAAUGUAUAAAAUUAUGUAAAACCAAUAAAAAAAUUAUAUAUGAAAAUUCAUGGAGGAGAGGGCUAUUGGUUGCAAAUCACCACAAUGGCUCUUCUCUGCCUCCACAUUUGUUUUUUUUUUUUUCCACUAUACCUGUUUCUUUUUUUUUUUAAUAAGAUAUUUAUUAAGAUUUUCAGAAAAUUACAAGACAAAUAAAGAAAAAAGGAAAAAAGGAAAAUACAAAAUAAAAACAGUUAAAAACAAUUCCUUCCUUCCGUUACUUAGCCUUCAUUUGCUUAUUUCCAGGACCUCCUCACACCUCCUAUUUUUGUAUUCCAAUUCAGUUAUUAGUUCAGCAAAUCCCUCCCCUCUUUAUGUAUCCUAAUCGUUAAUCAUAAAGUAUUUGUAAUUUUAGAUUUUUACCUAUUAAUAAACCAUUUUUUUUCAUAUUCCCUUAUAACAUUUCGGCUAAAGACCACUUAGUUUCUAUCCGACAUCAUUCUAGCAUUCAUUAAUUUUGCAAUAUUUCUGUAAAUAGUCUUUAAACUUUUUCCAAUCUUCUGUCCAACAUCUUGUGCCCAUUUAAUCAUAGCAGAUUUCACCAUUUCGUCCUGAGUAUUCCAUUUCAACAGCAAGUUAUACAUUUUUGACAAAAUCUUAGUUUUGGGUUCUAACAGUUCUGUUUCCAAUUUUGAUUUUUCCACCUGGAAACCAAUUUUCUUAUCCAAAUUGUAUGCCUCCAUUAUCUGAUAAUAAUGAAGCCAGUCUCGCACUUUGUCUUUUAAUUUCUCAAAACUCUGCAAUUUCAGUUUGUCUCCUUCCUGUUCCAAAAUUUCCCAAUAUUUCGGCCAUUUGGCCUCCAUAUUGAGCCUUUUCUGAGCCUUUGCUUCCAUCGGUGACAACCACCUUGGGGUUUUGUUUUCAAGUAAGUCCUUAUAUCUUAUCCAGACAUUUAACAAUGCUUUCCUGACAAUAUGGUUUUUAAAUGCUUUAUGUGCUUUAACCUUGUCAUACCACAAAUAUGCAUGCCACCCAAAAACAUUAUUAAAACCUUCUAAGUCCAAAAUGUCAGUGUUUUCAAGAAGCAGCCAUUCUUUCAACCAGCAGAACUGCUGCUGAUUCAUAAUAAAGUUUAAGGUCUGGCAGGGCAAAUCCACCUCUGUCCUUUGCAUCGGUUAAUAUUUUAAAUUUUAUUCUGGGCUUCUUGCCCUGCCAGACAAAUCUAGAAAUGUCUCUCUGCCACCUCUUGAAACAGUCCAUUUUGUCCAAAAUUUGCAAUGAUUGAAACAAAAAUAACAUUCUUGGCAAUACAUUCAUAGAAUCAUAGAAUCAUAGAAUCAUAGAACUGUAGAGUUGGAAGGGACCCUGAGGAUCAUCUAGUCCAACCCCCUGCAAUGCAGGAAUAUGCAGCUGUCUCAUACAGGGAUCGAACCUGCAACCUUGGUGUUAUCAGCACCAUGGUCUAACCAUCUGAGCUAUCAUUCAUCUUUAUUCAUCCACAUUUGGAGGCAGCUGUGCUUCUGAAUACCAGUUGCUGAAAAGUGCAGGAGGGCGGAGAUGUCCUGUGCUUGAAUCUUGCUUGUGAGUUUCCCAUUUGCACCUGGUUUUGCCACUGUGAGAACAGGACGCUGGACUAGAUGGGCCGGUGGCCUGUUCCAAUAAGCCAGGGGUCAGCAACCUUAGGCCCAUGGGCCAGACGCAGCCCACGGAGGCCAUUUAACUGGCCCAUGAGCUGCCCCCAAACUGAGCCGCUCGCUCGGCGAGUCCCCGCGCUCUGCGCUAAACCAGCACAGGGACUCUCUUCCACGGCUCUGGAUAUUGCGUCUGUGCAUGUCCGCAGCACCAGAAAUCGCUUCUGGUGAGAGCCAGUGUGGUGUAGUGAUUAAGAGCGGUAGACUCGUAAUCUGGUGAACCGGGUUCGCUUCGCCGCUCCUCCACAUGCAGCUGCUGGGUGACCUUGGGCUAGUCCCACUUCUCUGAAGUCUCUCAGCCCCACUCACCUCACAGAGUGUUUUUUGUGGGGGGAGGAAGGGAAAGGAGAAUGUUAGCCGCUUUGAGACUCCUUUGGGUAGUGAUAAAGCAGGAAAUCAAAUCCAAACUCUUCUUCUUCUUCUGCACAGGAACGAUUUUCAGUGUUUGGG